Podarcis muralis (Common wall lizard) is the source of this 1012-nucleotide non-coding RNA. The record is from RefSeq and is a predicted model, not a curated record. Lineage: Eukaryota; Metazoa; Chordata; Lepidosauria; Squamata; Lacertidae.
AUUCUAUGAUUAAACACUAACCUAUAAAGAUGGCAAAGAUGGCGUAGUGUGGUCUAGGAGAAACAGCUGGACUAAUUGGAGAAUCAAGAAAAGAAAAGCGCCGAAAGGAGGGGCGGAACUGGACCAAAGAGGAGAGGGACUAUAAAAUUAAAGAUGAGCAUAUUUAGUUUGAGGAGGUAGUUUGUGAGAAAGGAAAUACGUUUUCUGGUGUAAUGAAGAGACUUUCUUCAUCUAAAGUAUAAGUAGGAUUCCUAAUUCCUUCUGCAUUCUGUUUCUUUUACUAUCCCUCAAGAUUCAGAAACGUAGGGAACCAUGUCAUGGUUAAAUUAGUUUAUAAAGAUUGGCUGCGUGAGCUGCUGGUCUCCUGCUGUCACGUGCCAAAGAUCCAUCCCCUGGUCUGUGAGGAGGAGGAGGAGGAAGAGAUAUUGGAAGAGAAAUGGGAGGAUGAAGUGAUGGUUAUGAAGAUCAGAAGGAAUCUUUAGUGAAGGUGAAAAUAAUUUAUGUAAGACCAAGUGACCAGGGGAUGGAUGCCACUGAUACCAAUUUAGAUGGGGAGUGUUGAUCUUUGUUCAUCAGGAACAGGGAGGCCAGAGAAAAUCCCGCUCGCUGGGGAGCGGGGAGGCAGCUCCCUCAUUCAAGAAGAAUUCAGGGAUGGGAUGAGGACUUUGGGAUGAGAAACUAUUUGAGGAUAGUUCAGACGAGAGGAGGAAGAUUUUGAGGAAGCAAACAUGUUUUUUAGCGCAACGAAUUGACUUUCUUCAUCUAAAGCAUUCUGCAGUCUGAGAAGGCUGGGUGAGCUGCUGGUCUCCUGCUGUCGUGCCACAAAAAUCCAUCCCCUGGUCUGUGAGGAGGAGGACACAGUGAGUGUAAUGAAGGAUGGAAAGGAAAGAAGGGUAAAGGUGAGAACGAUCUACGUAAGGCCAAGGGACCAGAGGAUGGAUACCACAGAUGCUACUACCAAUGGCAGUGAUAGCAGUGAGGCCAGCAGCUCCAGUACAGCUCUACCCCGCUC